This 96-nucleotide vault RNA is filed under the name Acanthochromis polyacanthus (spiny chromis). Its description in RNAcentral is "Vault RNA (ENSAPOG00000001230.1)". It matches the Rfam family "Vault RNA". Rfam says of the family: This family of RNAs are found as part of the enigmatic vault ribonucleoprotein complex. The complex consists of a major vault protein (MVP), two minor vault proteins (VPARP and TEP1), and several small untranslated RNA molecules. The record is from Rfam by way of RNAcentral. Lineage: Eukaryota; Metazoa; Chordata; Actinopteri; Pomacentridae.
GCGUCGGUUUAGCUCAAUGGUUUCUUCUUACCUGCAAUUUCCACUUUCUGGUUCGCGGGCCAGGGGGUUCGACCAUGGGCGCUGUCCGAUGUUUUU